UGCGUAGGCGGGAAGGUAAGUCCGCGGUGAAAUCUCACAGCUCAACUGUGAAACUGCCGUUGAUACUGCUUUUCUUGAGUUCGGGAGAGGUUGAUGGAAUUCCAGGUGUAGCGGUGAAAUGCGUAGAUAUCUGGAAGAACACCAGUGGCGAAGGCGGUCAACUGGCCCGUAACUGACGCUGAGGCACGAAAGCGUGGGGAGCGAACAGGAUUAGAUACCCUGGUAGUCCACGCCCUAAACGAUGAAUACUUGGUGUUGGUCCGUAAGGAUCAGUGCCGAAGGAAACCUGAUAAGUAUUCCACCUGGGGAGUACGCUCGCAAGGGUGAA
This 328-nucleotide ribosomal RNA is filed under the name uncultured Ignavibacteriota bacterium. RNAcentral's name for it is "bacterial SSU rRNA". It matches the Rfam family "Bacterial small subunit ribosomal RNA", at positions 568 to 898 of the family's 1533-position model. Lineage: Bacteria; Pseudomonadati; Ignavibacteriota. The record is from RNAcentral.